CCUACGGGAGGCAGCAGUGGGGAAUAUUGCACAAUGGGCGGAACCCUGAUGCAGCAACGCCGCGUGGGUGAAGAAGUACUCCGGUAUGUAAAGCCCUGUCAGCAGGGAAGCAAAGGACGGUACCGGACCAAGAGGCCCCGGCUAACUACGUGCCAGCAGCCGCGGUAAUACGUAGGGGGCAAGCGUUAUCCGGAGUUACUGGGCGUAAAGGGAGCGUAGACGGCAAGGCAAGUCUGGAGUGAAAGCCCGUGGCCCAAGCACGGGACUGCUGUGGAAACUGUGUUGCUGGAGUGCAGGAGGGGUAGGCGGAAUUCGUGGUGUAGCGGUGAAAUGCGUAGAUAUUAGGAGGAACACCGGUGGCGAAGGCGGCUUACUGGACUGUAACUGACGUUGAGGCUCGAAGGCGUGGGGAGCAAACAGGAUUAGAUACCCGUGUAGUC
RNAcentral lists this ribosomal RNA (440 nucleotides) under uncultured bacterium. RNAcentral's name for it is "partial 16S ribosomal RNA". It matches the Rfam family "Bacterial small subunit ribosomal RNA", at positions 338 to 795 of the family's 1533-position model. The record is from RNAcentral.